Molecule: ribosomal RNA, 1393 nt
Filed under: Ansonia sp. KUHE 12488
Lineage: Eukaryota; Metazoa; Chordata; Amphibia; Anura; Bufonidae
Description: partial 16S ribosomal RNA
Rfam family: Bacterial large subunit ribosomal RNA
Source: RNAcentral
GCUAUAAACCUAGCCCAACUAAACACGAAUACUUCUAGCAAUACUGGCUUCUUUUAAUAAACCAUUUUAAUAUUUUAGUAAAGGAGAUUGAAAAACCUAUUGGAGCUAUAACAACAGUACCGCAAGGGAACAGUGAAAUACAAAAUGAAAAUCUUAAGCAAUAAAAAGUAAAGACUACCCCCUGUACCUUUUGCAUCAUGGUUUAACUAGUCUAAUCAAGCAAAGCGUAUUUAAGUUUGACCCCCCGAAACUAAGUGAGCUACUUCAGGGCAGCUAAAAGAGCGAACCCGUCUCUGUAGCAAAAGAGUGGGACGACCCUCAAGUAGUGGUGACAGACCUAACGAACUUAGUGAUAGCUGGUUACUCAAGAAGCGGAUAUAAGUCCAACCUGAACCACAUAACCCUAAGUUUACCAAAACAACUCCUCAUCUUUCAGCGUAAUUCGAAUAAGGUACAGCCUAUUUGAAACAGGACACAACCUAAACUAACGGAUAAGAUUAGCCCGACCAACAAUCAAGUCGGCCUAAAAGCAGCCAUCUUUAAAAUUGCGUCAAAGCUUAAUUGUUCCAACGCCUAAUUACCUAAUUAACAUCUUAAUCCCCAAUCAAUACUGAGUAAUUCUAUAACAUUAUAGAAAAUUUUAUGUUAAAACUAGUAACAAGAAGAAGGCCCUUCUCUUAAAUGUUAGUGUUAAUCAGAAAGGACAAACCACUGAUACUUAACAUUCUUGAACCAAAAGUAGCAACUAACCAAGAAAACUCUACCAAAAUCAAUGUCAACCUAACACAAGCACAUUUUAAGAAAGAUUAAAAGAAAAAGAAGGAACUCGGCAAAUAUUAACCCCGCCUGUUUACCAAAAACAUCGCCUCUUGAACCUAAUAGGAGGUCCAGCCUGCCCAGUGACUCUGUUCAACGGCCGCGGUAUCCUAACCGUGCGAAGGUAGCGUAAUCACUUGUUCUUUAAAUGAGGACUAGUAUGAAUGGCACCACGAAGGUUAUACUGUCUCCUUUUUUUAAUCAGUGAAACUAAUCUCCCCGUGAAGAAGCGGGGAUAAGACUAUAAGACGAGAAGACCCUAUGGAGCUUUAAACAAUAUAGCACUUACCACACAACACAAUUUUUAAAUUAAACUUCUUGGGUAACAUGACUAUAAGUUUUUGGUUGGGGUGACCACGGAGCAUAACACAACCUCCACGUUGAAGAAAUUUUAUUUUAAGCUAAGAACCACCUAUCUAAGCAUCAAUAUCUUGACAUCCAUUGACCCAAUACUUUUGAGCAACGAACCAAGUUACCCUAGGGAUAACAGCGCAAUCCACUUUAAGAGCCCAUAUCGACAAGUGGGUUUACGACCUCGAUGUUGGAUCAGGGUCUCCAAGUGGUGCAGCCGCUACUA